Molecule: transfer RNA, 59 nt
Filed under: Methylophilaceae bacterium
Lineage: Bacteria; Pseudomonadati; Pseudomonadota; Betaproteobacteria; Nitrosomonadales; Methylophilaceae
Description: tRNA-Ser
Rfam family: tRNA
About the family: Transfer RNA (tRNA) molecules are approximately 80 nucleotides in length.
Source: RNAcentral
GGUAGAGCGUCGCCCUUACAAGGCGAAUGUCAGCGGUUCGACCCCGUUAGCACCCACCA